GGAGUGACAAGAGAGGAGAAGAACGGAAGCGGAGGAGCGCGCCUGCGCGUCAUUCGCGGGAGCGCUUGUUAUGGAAGGCUCAGUCUCGGCUCGCCUGGGCAGUAGGCAACACGGCCGACGCCGAAGCACCGCGCCAAGUAUCCGACCGGGGAGCUCCGGGGACGUUCUAAAGAUAGAAAAGCGCGCGCCGCCGAUGCGCUUCGCGAGAGAAGCGCGUCGUUUCUCUCUCCGCGCGACAACGCGGCGGGCUUCCAUCGAGCGACAACGAUGAGGAGCUAACGUUCCGGAGAUCGAGAAGGUCUGAAGAUGUUUAAGGGACCGUGACUAUUUGCAUCUUCGCGAACUUUGUGAAGCAAGUGAAGUGAAUUGUACGGGUUCUUGAUGAAAGUCUCGAAUAAUUGAAGAGACAAGCGGUAUAAAAAUGACAGUUACAUGAAGAUAUGUCGUAUUAAACUUUGCGAGAAGUUAACGACGAGCCUAACGAGAUUCUGAAGAAGGGAAAACUGGAAUUAUUGUCGUGAAACAAUGUAAGGACAUCAUUUGUACGCUUAAUGAAUAUAUACGGGUCUUCGGGGAAGGACGGGAGAAAGUAGAAAGAAGGACGAGUAAAGGGGAUAAAGAGUCGACGAGGAGGGCAAACGCGGUUGAAUAAAAUGUGAGAUGGAAAUUUGAUAAUAUGGAGCAAAAAAAAACUGAGUAAACUCGGCAGCAAACAGAUAGAUACUGGUAAAACGAGGAAACGAGGCUAUCUUUCACGCUGAAGAAAACGCAGAGUUGUAAGAGAAAGAAGAAGCAGAGACGUUUAAAGAAAAUUGGACAAAAUUGCUGGAGGAAGACAAUUACAUAGGUAUCCCCGGUGAAGAUAAAUAAAACGCGGACUCGCGUAUGUAUACUAGCGUUAAAGGUGAGGAAAAAUCGAUAGUGGAAGAUUUAGGACCGGAAGCGGUAAAGUGUAGAAACCUUGGGUGAAAA
Molecule: long non-coding RNA, 972 nt
Organism: Solenopsis invicta (red fire ant)
Lineage: Eukaryota; Metazoa; Arthropoda; Insecta; Hymenoptera; Formicidae
Exons: 2
Source: RefSeq, a predicted model, not a curated record